Molecule: ribosomal RNA, 324 nt
Filed under: uncultured eukaryote
Lineage: Eukaryota
Description: partial 18S ribosomal RNA
Rfam family: Eukaryotic small subunit ribosomal RNA
Source: RNAcentral
CCCUUAGAUGUUCUGGGCCGCACGCGUGCUACACUGAGUGGAUCAGCGGGUCAGGUUGCGCGAAAGCGUUUCCUAAUCUUUAAAUCCGCUCGUGAUGGGGAUUGACGGUUGCAAUUUUCUGUCAUGAACGAGGAAUACCUUGUAAGCGCGGGUCAUCAUCCCGCGCUGAAUACGUCCCUGCCCUUUGUACACACCGCCCGUCGCUACUACCGAUUGAAUGGCUUAGUGAGCCCGAGGGACUGUUGCACCUAGAGGGUUUUCUCUCCAGGAGCAGCCGGGAACUCGGUCAAACUUGAUCAUUUAGAGGAAGUAAAAGUCGUAACA